GGAAACUGAGGCACAGCCGGGGCUGGUCCCUGUGGAUUCUGAUCUUUGUGUCCCUGUGGGAGCUGCGCUGGGGUCCGGCCUUCACUGGGGGAGAUGCCAGCCCACGACUGCUCCCUGCGCAUCACAGGGGUAACCCCCCAGGACAGUGGGGGCUACACCCUCGUCUGCCAGGCUGGCGGGCGCUGCGCCGAGGCCCUCAGGCACCUGCAGAUCUCUGUUUGACCAGAUGGGGCCGGGAUCCACCCCGAAUGGGGCCAGCAAGAACGGGGGUGGGAGUGACCAGUCUCCCCAUCCCAUCCCAGUCACCAGCGACAGGGCCGGCUCCAGCUUUUCUGCCGCCCCAAGUGGCAAAGGGGGAGAAAAAAGAUAAAGCCACGAUCGGCGGCACCUCUACCGCGUGCUUCAUUCUUCGGUGGCAAUUCGGCGGCAGGUCCUUCGCUCCAAGGGGCUGAGGAACCCGCCACCAAAGACCUGGACGCGCUGCCCCAAGCACCUGCUGCCUGCACUGGAACCUGGAGCUGGCCCUGACCAGCACCCCCACCCCUUAUCCCCCACCGAACCUCAAUGAAAGUCUUCGGCAGCUGGGGUGGGGUGGGGGAGUCUCUGUGCAAUGGCAGCCCCUAAGUCUCCAUCCCACACCCCAAGCCAGACCAGAGAAGAAGGGAGACUGUCUCAGAGGAACAAGGUUUAAU
Molecule: long non-coding RNA, 692 nt
Filed under: Gopherus agassizii (Agassiz's desert tortoise)
Lineage: Eukaryota; Metazoa; Chordata; Testudines; Testudinidae
Description: lncRNA (ENSGAGG00000002903.1)
Source: RNAcentral